RNAcentral lists this ribosomal RNA (378 nucleotides) under Synechocystis sp. AECC1319. RNAcentral describes it as "bacterial SSU rRNA". It matches the Rfam family "Bacterial small subunit ribosomal RNA", at positions 376 to 770 of the family's 1533-position model. The record is from RNAcentral. RNAcentral also lists the same sequence under 2 other names. Lineage: Bacteria; Bacillati; Cyanobacteriota; Cyanophyceae; Synechococcales; Merismopediaceae.
CGAAAGCCUGACGGAGCAAUACCGCGUGAGGGAGGAAGGCUCUUGGGUUGUAAACCUCAAAACUUAGGGAAGAAGAAAGUGACGGUACCUAAUAUAAGCAUCGGCUAACUCCGUGCCAGCAGCCGCGGUAAUACGGAGGAUGCAAGCGUUAUCCGGAAUCAUUGGGCGUAAAGCGUCCGUAGGUGGCAGUUCAAGUCCGUAUUCAAAGACCGAGGCUCAACUUCGGGUAGGGUACGGAAACUGAGUAGCUAGAGUAUAGGAGGGGCAGAGGGAAUUCCUAGUGUAGCGGUGAAAUGCGUAGAGAUUAGGAAGAACACCAGUGGCGAAGGCGCUCUGCUGGACAUAUACUGACACUGAGGGACGAAAGCUAGGGUAGCG